ACACAGUUUCCCCUGUGUUCACUCUCCUCCCUACAGAGUACGGAGAAAAUAGGAACUUAGAAGCAUACCUUCAAGGCUAGCAGACUUAGGCUGCUAUGGCUGAGAUGCAAACGUCCAAGGAAAAGCCUCUGGUCUUUUUGCUCCAUUCUUCACACCCCACUUCCUUGCUAUAUGAUCAAAAUGGAAGAGAACCAUGGUACCAAAUGAAGGAACCAGGGAGAGGUUUCAAGAGCACCUGAAGAACCAGCAGAAGGAUGAGAGAAACAUGGCAGAAAGGCUCUGCAGAGCCCUGGGGUAAGCAGCAACAGCUGUAUGAAACAAGCUGAACUUCUCUUUUUUUAAUCACCCUCCUUAAAUCCAGCUGAGAUUCAGGCAUGCUCCUACCUAAAGCUGGUUGUUGCUAAUAAAUAGGUGAGCAGCCACUUCUCUGCAGCUGAGGGAUGCUGCCUCUGCUCAUCAGCAUGUGCAGCUGCUGGUCCCCAGCCUGGCCUCACUAACACCAGUCCAGCACUGCAGGCAGAGGAACUGCCCCAAGACCUCCUGUCCCAGGAGUACCCAGGACUUUGGGCACAAACCAUCCAGUCAAGCAGCUCUUUAUGUUUCUGUUUCUCCAGUUUAUAAAACAAAGCUAAAAAUAGUUUUCUGCAUGUAGAAGAAGCUUUCCUGAAUAUGCCUAAACUUAAAGCUUUACACAUAAGUGUGUUUCUCCAAAAGGUUUUCUCUCUUACAGAAGUGAAAAGUCCACAGUUGCACUUGGACUGUGCUCAAAAGCUGCAGCUGGAUCCACUUCUACACGGAGAUAAAGAUGCUCAAUGGUUCAUGGUCGGCUGUCAUCUCAAACCCAUACUGGGACUCACAGUGGAUGCUCCUGCUCCUUUCUCCAGCCCUCUUGGAGCUGCUUCAUAAAAGGUCAUGGACAGGGAGCACCGCAGACUAAGGGCACCUGGCCAUCCUUCACGAGUAUGACUACUUUCCAUUUGUGAGCUCAUUAGCAGAAUUUAGGAAAGAUUUAAUUUUUUUUUAAAAAGAGGCACUUUCUACGAAUGCAUACCAUACUCAUAAGUGUUUUAUGUCUGUAAACUAUUUCAAGUACCAAAAUCAGACUAGCCCCUUAAAGAAGUCUAAAUCCUGAAAAGUGAAGGCAGUAGCAAGAAAAGAAGGAAAAAAGAAAGAGGAGAAGAUGAAAAGGAAAAGAGAAGUGAAAAGGAGGGGAGGGAAGGGAAGGGAAGGUAAGAGAAAGGAAGAGAAGGGAAGAGGCCCAUUUAAGUUAUCAGAGCUGCUUUUUCUGUUUCAUUAUUCAGAGAAGGCUUGGGGGCCCCAGCGUCUGAAGUCCUUUACAGACAGGACUGUGACACUUCUCAGGAUUUAGAUUUCAGGUAUGGAAUUGAACACAACUAAUAAAUUAAAGUACCACGCAGAGACA
RNAcentral lists this long non-coding RNA (1423 nucleotides) under Numida meleagris (helmeted guineafowl). RNAcentral's name for it is "lncRNA (ENSNMEG00000015816.1)". The record is from RNAcentral. Lineage: Eukaryota; Metazoa; Chordata; Aves; Galliformes; Numididae.